CACAGUGGAUUUCGUUUCUGCUGCUCUUGUCGACCCAGUUUGAACCUUGUGCUGUGUCUUGUCUCAUUUCGUCCUCGUUCUCAUGCCAGUGGGACUCGGUUGCCUGUGUGUGUAUGUGUGUUAGUGUGUGUGAAACUAUGAUUGGUCAGCUGUGGUGGGUUUUUUUAUGUGCCGGACUGCUGUGCGAUGCCACUUCUCACUCGGGACAUAGAACGCUUCAAUGGACUGUCUCUCCUUUACUGGAUCAUAAUGGGACCGCACGGCAUCAAUCGAGCCAUUCAGAGACUUGACUUCUGCGACUGCAGACGAGGACUCGGUGUGAAAAUCAUUGGAGGUCACCGCCAGCUGACCGGCGAGGACUUUGGCAUUUAUAUUAAGAGAGUGAUCGGUGGCAGCUUGGCAGAGCUAGACGGUCGACUUAGGGCAGGUGACCUGAUCCUGGAGGUCAAUGACACCAGUCUGGUUGGCGUGACAAAUGAAAGAGCUGUAGAGAUUCUUAGAUCGGCAUCACUGUCCAAUCACAUGUCCCUGCUGGUUGCCAGGGACGAUGACUCCAGGAGAGAAUUUUAUGAACUGAUGGACAAGUACGGCGGAAACUACAGUUCCCUGGGUUUACAAAUGUCUCCGGCACAGCAGUGUGCAGGCAAGCAGGCUGGCAUCUUGUCUUCUGACAGUCCUCAGCUCCUUACUCCUGAAAACGGAGUCACUCCCACUAGCUCCUCCUACAUCUCGCACUCAUCCUCUCUGGCCCCCAGCGACGGCAUUAUUCAGUUGAUCUGUGUAGCUAAAGCUGCAGGGUUGGGACUCGUCAUUGGAGGUGGAGCUAAUCGACCCAAUGGACCAAUGGUGUUUGUCCAGGAGAUCAUGGUUGGCGGCGACUGUCAGAAGGAUGGUCGUCUACAGGUCGGAGAUCAGAUCAUCUCUAUCAACAAAGAAUCGCUAAUUGGAGUCACAUAUGAGGAGGCGCGAGGUAUCUUGACUCGGACUAGACUCAGCAGGCCUGAUCCCACAGUGGAAGUGGCCUUUGUCCGUCGACGGUCUUCCUCCAGCUCUAGUGGACCUCACAGUCCAUCUGGAGGAGUUAGACUUCAGGGAAAGUUGAUGGGUCCAGGCUCAUUAUGUGCACAGCCAGGUCUCAUUCCAAGAAUCACGUCCAGCCUGAACCCAACAAGCGAGACCCUUCCAGCAGUGGACGUGCAAGUGUCUCCAGUCAUGAUCAGAGACUCACACAUGAGCUCGAACCCAGUCAAAGAGCCUGAGGGAGGCACAGAACCAAACCCCGACGGUCCAGAACCUCAGGUUCGGAAAUGUCCCUCCAGCAACAGUGGCCAUCUAACACUGGACCAAGUGGACCAGGCUGUGGAUCUGCCCGGACUGGACCUCAGAGAGUCUCAGCUGCCAUUGGAGCGGGUCGGCAAUGUCUCCACAGCAGAUUUUGAGCGUUUCACCCGAGGAUUGGUCAUUUCGCAACUGAAGGAAGGGCCUGAGUUCACACCCAACGACCCAACUUGUCUGCUGCAGGACACACAGGUCAGAGGAACCAAAACUGAGAUGGAGAAGUUAAGAAAAGAACACUGUGAAGCUCUCCAGGAGGUCAAGCGGCUGCAGGAACAGCUGAAAGAGUCUCAGAGAGUUUUUCUUCAGAUGGAGGAGGAAGUGACCAAGGCCAAACAGAAGGCAGAACUGGCUGAGGAGGAGACACAAACUCUCCGAUCAGAACUUCAGCAAGUCCAUGAGGUGCAGAAGGAGGCACGGGGGAUGGAGAUGGAUUAUGAAGAGGUGGUCCGCCUUCUUGAGGCUGAGAUAGCUGAGCUCAAGGCCCAGAAGGCAGAGUCCACCACAAACCAGCAUGGCUGGGAAGAGCUGAAGAAGAAGAUUGCUGUGCUCGAGUGUCAGCUGAGGAAGAGUGAGGAGCGACAGAAGAACUUGCAGAGUUCCACAGCCAAAUUGCUGGCCUUCACAGAGAAUGUUCAGAACUUCCUGCAGGAAGCAGGACAAUCUGGACGAAACUUCAGCCCUGGAGAGACUAAAGCUGCGGCAUCUGCAUGCUACAAAAAGCCCUGGGCAUCAGCUUCAUUGCUUCAGGAGGCCAAGGAACUGAACAAGGCUGUUCGAGCAGUGUUGGACAUGGACUCCUCAACCUGCUAGAAGACCCGAUGAUCCGGACUCACCAUGGCUCCAUCUCUCAACUGAAUGCAUGACUCUUCCAUUCAAUCAACCUAAUGCCUGCCCUACGGCUGGGAGGAAGCAUACACUGACCAGGGGAUCAAGUAUUACAUCAAUCACCUGACCCAGACAACAUCAUGGACUUUAAAUGAGACCACAGGCGUCACCCCCUCCAUUGCAUCAGAUUUGGGUUCGGAGCAAGAAGGAGCUGAGAGGGUCAGACUUCCAGGCUCCGCAAUAGAAACUGAGAUGUAGAAGUGACAU
RNA transcript from Synchiropus splendidus (mandarinfish), 2430 nucleotides. It is a transcript of the gene named syntaxin binding protein 4, with no coding region annotated. The transcript has 23 exons. The record is from RefSeq and is a predicted model, not a curated record. Lineage: Eukaryota; Metazoa; Chordata; Actinopteri; Syngnathiformes; Callionymidae.